GACGAACGCUGGCGGCGUGCUUAACACAUGCAAGUCGAACGAUGAACUCCCAGCUUGCUGGGGGGGAUUAGUGGCGAACGGGUGAGUAACACGUGAGUAACCUGCCCUGGACUCUGGGAUAACCCCGAGAAAUCGGAGCUAAUACCGGAUAGGACCUUGCACCGCAUGGUGUGGGGUGGAAAGUUUUUCGGUCUGGGAUGGACUCGCGGCCUAUCAGCUUGUUGGUGAGGUAAUGGCUCACCAAGGCGUCGACGGGUAGCCGGCCUGAGAGGGUGACCGGCCACACUGGGACUGAGACACGGCCCAGACUCCUACGGGAGGCAGCAGUGGGGAAUAUUGCACAAUGGGCGCAAGCCUGAUGCAGCAACGCCGCGUGCGGGAUGACGGCCUUCGGGUUGUAAACCGCUUUUAGUAAGGAAGAAGGGGCUUCGGCCUUGACGGUACUUGCAGAAAAAGGACCGGCUAACUACGUGCCAGCCGCCGCCGUAAAAC
RNAcentral lists this ribosomal RNA (492 nucleotides) under uncultured bacterium. RNAcentral describes it as "bacterial SSU rRNA". It matches the Rfam family "Bacterial small subunit ribosomal RNA", at positions 28 to 526 of the family's 1533-position model. The record is from RNAcentral.